UUGACGGGCCCGUCUUCCCCCCAGAUGAAACAGAUGAAACAAGAUGAAACGAGAUGAAACGAGAUGAAACAAGAUGAAACGCCAAGUACGGGCGCAGAUGGGGCCGAGAUGAAACGAAAUGAAACAAAAUGAAACAAAAUGAAACAAAAUGAAACAAGAUGAAACAAGAUGAAACCAAAAUGAAACUCGAAGUACGGGCGUAGAUGGGCCGCGAAUGAAACAAGAUGAAACAAGAUGAAACAAUGUAUGGGCGUAGAUGGGGCGCACGCGACCAUGUACCACGCGUGCACGAGCGAAAAGAACUGAAUCCAAUCAUUGAAAUAAUUUUGUUUGCAGAGGCAAUUCGCGCAAGGGAGGGAUAGCAAUUUGAUGGCUUGCGAGUGACAGCACGAGCCGAAUUUAUUGCCCGUGGAAGUACCCACGAUAGAAAUACACUGUUGGGAACAUGGUGGCGCCGCUGACGGUACCUAUGUAAGUGGAGUUACUUUAUUGGAAGUACCCACGACGGGGAAAAUAGUCUCUCUAGUAUUGUCGGUGAAUGGCGAUGGUGGUGGUGGCGAUGGCUACUUUCCUCUGCUCAGAGAGAACCCCUGCAUGUCCUUCGUCGUGAUGCGAAAGAGCAGUGGAUGCAGAAAAUGUCUCUACCUGCCAGGAUGGUAUAAGAGCACGAACUGAAUCACCUGUUGGUGCAGAAGGCUUGGAGGACUACUUUUGAAACAGUUGUUCAAAUUUCCUGCACCUCUUUGUAGCCGUUGUCUGAUUUCUGCAUUCUGGGGAGACUGAAGUUAAGAAGCCCUCACCGAAACCAACACUACGUUGCUGUGUUGUUUUCUUCCAAGGUCGGGCACAGUAAAGGAGACGACUCUGUAUCAAGGCACUACCCAGAGGGAGGAUGUUGGCCUUCUCCUGAUGGGAAAAUGUCUUCUUUCUCAUGGCGUGGCCAGGACUGCACUGACCCUACCAUCCACUCUACCUCUCCGGAAAGGGACUUGACAACCAGUCAAGAUGGAUGUGCAGAGAUAUACCAGCGCUUCUAGCAUUAACUGCCAAUUUGCACUGACGCAGCAAGACUCCCAACAGUCAAAAAAUGUCUCUACCUGCCAGGAUGGUAUAAGAGCACGAACUGAAUCACCUGUUGGUGCAGAAGGCUUGGAGGACUACUUUUGAAACAGUUGUUCAAAUUUCCUGCACCUCUUUGUAGCCGUUGUCUGAUUUCUGCAUUCUGGGGAGACUGAAGUUAAGAAGCCCUCACCGAAACCAACACUACGUUGCUGUGUUGUUUUCUUCCAAGGUCGGGCACAGUAAAGGAGACGACUCUGUAUCAAGGCACUACCCAGAGGGAGGAUGUUGGCCUUCUCCUGAUGGGAAAAUGUCUUCUUUCUCAUGGCGUGGCCAGGACUGCACUGACCCUACCAUCCACUCUACCUCUCCGGAAAGGGACUUGACAACCAGUCAAGAUGGAUGUGCAGAGAUAUACCAGCGCUUCUAGCAUUAACUGCCAAUUUGCACUGACGCAGCAAGACUCCCAACAGUCAAAAAGAAUAAUAUAGACGUGCAGAAAAUGUAGGAGGGGCGAUGACAUCAGAAGGACACUCUCAGGUUCAGGGUACCUGUACUGCCCCAAUAAAGUGGGUCAGAUCCCAAAACGAGGUUGGCCGAAGCAAAAAAAAUAGAAGAGCCUGCCUUGAACUGAAUAUGAGGAAGAAGAAGAAGAAGACGAAGAAAGAGAAAGAGUAGGAAUUUGUUUGUGUAAACUUUGUUUCCUCUGUCUAGGCUGCCAUCGCAUUAUAGCAGCCAACAGUGUGUGUGUGUGUGUGUGUGUGUGUGUGUGUGUGUGUGUGUGUGUGUGUGUGUGUGUGUGUGUGUGUGUGUGUGUGUGUGUGUGUGUGUGUGUGUGUGUGUGUGUGUGUGUGUGUGUGUGUGUGCAUAUGUGUGUGUGUGUUUGCGUUUGUGUGCACACGCUUGUGUGUGUGUUUGCAUGUGUGUAUAUUCUGCUAAUCUUGACUUAAAUUUCCACAUCUGGGCAGAUUGUGUUCUGUAUGUGAAUUUAUCUUCAUUAACUUGU
Molecule: long non-coding RNA, 2065 nt
Organism: Sycon ciliatum
Lineage: Eukaryota; Metazoa; Porifera; Calcarea; Leucosolenida; Sycettidae
Exons: 10
Source: RefSeq, a predicted model, not a curated record